CACAGGUGUUUGCCAUCUCAACAGGUGUUUCCUUACCUCCUGUUUUCUGAAAGCCUCAGGGUGAUUUGGGAAUACAGGUUUAACCUGACUGACACACAGCUUUUUGGAAAAGCUUAUGAAUAAUCUAUUAUUUAACAUCUGCAUCUGCCAUAUCUUCACUAGCAAGCUUGGGAGAACACAGCAGAAGGAAUGAAAACCUAUUCUAAUACAAAUCAGAAAUCAAUCCUAUUGUCGCUUUAUUUCACGUAAUUAUCUUUUAGUGAAUAGAUUAAACUGAGUGUUAUAUUUUACUUUGAUGAUGAAGGACCUCAUUGAUUUGUCUGUGACAUCAGUCGAUGUAUGUGUAUAGACAAGGGAAUAUCCUAUCUCAAGGCAAAGGAAACCCUUUAGGUAAUUAAACACAUCCUAUCUUAGAUCAUUUUGCUUCUUCACUCAUUGAUUUUGAAUCAACAGUAAGAUGGGUUUUUUCUUUUACAUUAAAGGAAUUAAUUUGUUAUCAGAGUUCCUGUUGUGGCUCAGCAGGUUAAGAACCCAACAUAAUAUCCAUGAGGAUGUGGGUUCAAUCUCUGGUUGCUCAGUGGGUUAAGAAUCUGGUGUUGCCCACAAAGCUGUGGCAUAGGUUGCAGAUGUGGCUCGGAUCCUGUGUGGCUGUGGCAUAGGUUGGCAGCUGCAGCUCCGAUUACAUCCCUAGCCUGGGAACCUCCAUAUGCCACAGGUGCAGCUGCAAAAAGAAAAGAAAAGAAAAGAAAGAAAAAAAAUUAAUUUGUUAUAUAUAUAUUAUUUAACACUUGGAGGAAGAAAGUGAAAUGAUGGGAAAUAAUAUUUUUGAUGAAUAUUAAUCUUUUAUAUAUUUGGUUUUUACCAUAUGUAAUUUUAAAAAGGAACUAGAAGGUUUAGGUCAAUAAUAAGAACAGAUAAAUGAAUUCAUGUAAAUGUAAUAGCCUAGAUUUUCUAUACUUCUAAAAAGAUGAUUUGAAGUUUAUCCUACUGGCUUUUAGUUUUAGGACCCCAAAUCUUGUUGAUAACUAUUUUAAGGUAAAUAAAUAUUGUAACAGAGUUACCUGAAAAAUGUGCAUCUUUUUUAUGUGAUGCAAGUAAGAAAGUGCUGAAUUGUGACAUUUGUUACCAUCACAUUUCCUUCAGGAACUUUCCUCUGCAGUGGAUUUGUGGUUAGUGUUUGCUGCUGCACACUGUUAACGGUUAUUGGUGACGAUGACAAAUUUGAUUGUGGUCUGGAAGUGUAUCACUCUUUAUUAUGCUUUUAUAUUUUACUAGUGAAUGUGCUAGUAAUAAACAUUUUAUUUUCUCUUCUCUUUGACUUUCUUUGUCUUGAUCUGGAUCCUUUUUUUUUCCGGUCUUUUUAGGGCUGUAUCCUUGGCCUACAGCCACAGCAAUGCCAGAUCUAAGCUGUGUCUGUGACCUACACCACAACUCACAGCAAUGCCGGAUCCUUAACCCACUGAGUGAGGCCAGGGAUUGAACCAGCAUCCUCAUGGAUAUUAGUUGGGUUCGUUACUUCUAAGCCAUGACAGGAACUCCUGGAUUCUUUAUAUGUGACUUGAGAACUGUAUUCACUUCUCUGAACCUUGAUAUUUCAUCUGUAGAGUGACAACUCUACUAAAUGACCCCUGAGGUCUCUAGCUCUGACACAGUGACCCCAGGAAGUGCGUGACCUCACGUGUGUGCGCAAGUCUGUAUUUGCUAUUUCCCCAGUGACCGGAGUUAAAUUCUCCUCGUCCAAAGUUUGUAGAGAUUGAGAAACCAAAUCACUGGUCUUGUUCUUUCUAAAUAGACAAGUUUUGAGACUAAAAGUUAGUAUUAAGAACUGGUCAUUGGUUUAUGCUGGUUUGAUUUUUUAAAUUUACUUACGCAUUAGUGAUUAAGAACUCGUGUUUUUGGGUGUGAGCUUUGAAGCACCUCCUCACUCAGUACCUAUUUGGUCUUGGGCAUCCAGUUUACCUUCCUUGUGAACUAAUAGAUAAUGGGAUCUACUUCUCAAUGUUAUCUUGAAGAUCAGUGAGACAACUGUGCCAGGCACCUGGCAACAGCUUAGUUGGCUGUUCAAAUUGUGACCAUGACUUUCUCCUUGUUCACUGUCUGUCUUAUUAGCAAGUCUGUGAGAGUUUCCUUCCUUCCAUCCAGUUUGUCAGAGUUCUCUGAAUCUCCGUGGACUGGUUUGGCUAUGGAAACACCUUAGACACUGUUUUCUCUUCUAGAAUUUGCGAGUGGGCCUGGUGCCCUGGCAUCGACAUUCGUUCAGUGCUGGCCAUAGGCUCGCACUUGUCCCGUCAUUGUUGUUGGUGUUGCCUGCCCAUUUAUGUAUAUGGUCUUUUUGAAAAGAAGACAUGAUGUUUCAAACAACAAGUUGAUUUUUAUCUUCUUGCCUGUGUUUGCUUCACCUUCUGUGGACAGCUGGGGUUCGUGUUGUGUACCCCAACUAUUCAGAGAGAACUGAGUGGUUGUUGGCGUGUUGAUGGUUUCUCCUCUAAUCCUGGAUUCUCCUCAUUGCCAACACUGAGGUAUCUUGAUGACGAAGGAACUUUUCUCUCUGUGCAUAGUGCAAGCUUCUCUGUGGUGGAUUUCAGCUCUAUCUCUUGGAGUUUAAAGACUCUGUGUUUCCAUGACAUACUGUUUAUUGUCUGAGUAAUUCCUUUUGAUGUGUGCUAGUGUGGAAUCACGGUAUAAACUGGCAAGUUUAUCUCUUAACGUGAUUCCUUGAUUUGGGGGAAACCACCUGACUGUGUCAGUGCAUUUGUCUUCCCCGCUUUUUUAAUCACGGGCCCGUUUGUCUUGUGCAGUCAAAUCCUUGUAAUAACCUGUGGGUUGGAUGGCACCCAAGGCCCCAGGGCUGGGCAGGUGGGGGAUGAGCACUCAAAUCUAGCAGCUUGGCCCCAGAGCCAGGCUCCAUCCUGCUUGGCCACCUCCUCAAGGCCCUCGGAUGCCACCAGAAACCCCCUGUGGGAUAAAGAGGCCUCGGGAGUUGGGCUGAGGAGCAGAUGUGAGUGUGGGUGGUGGUGAUUCGCCUCAGUCCUCCAUUCCUCCCAUUAUGCCUGGCAUGUCCGUUAAGAUUACCUAGGGUCAGGAGUUAAGAAAGCAGAACCCCCAGUUCCAGCCACGCACAGUAAGUGGUCACUGUACCCAGCCACUCAGUGUUACCCUGUCGGGUAUGUGACACUGCCCGGGCGAGGUCACAGGGGCACCCACAAAGGAAGUGUGUCUCUGCAUCUGAAGAUGCUCCCUUUUGGCUGUGGCCCCUCAGGCACCUCUCUGUCUCCUCUUCUCAGGACAGGUGACAGCAGUGACUUAAAUGUCCACACAUCCUCAUCACCACUGGCGUUUCUUCCUCCUCCUCCCACCCUGGGUAGAAAGUGCUCCCUGGGGGCAUUCAGGCUCGUCACUUUCUCCAGGCAGCCCACCUCAGUGCAGUUCUCUUAGACACGGACGCACUUGUUAAAAUCAGAUUUCUGAUUCACAGGAAGAUCAUGUUUUCUCACAGAUGACAGGGCACACUUGGCCUAGUUAAUGAGAAAAUGGUGAAGGAAAACCAUGAGCAGUUAUUUCAAACCUGGGUCACAUUCCAAAGGGCUGGCGCCUGUGGCGGCCACAGCUUCGGUCAGGGUCAUGGGGCCUUUCUGUGGGACACAUGGGCACAGCAGUGUUUGGUUUCUCAUUGAGAAAUCUGAAAAUGUCUUGUUUUGUUAUAUUACUAAUAAUGUUAGUCUAAGGUUUGAAGCCUGAGGUUUGGGAAAG
RNAcentral lists this long non-coding RNA (3750 nucleotides) under Sus scrofa (pig). RNAcentral describes it as "lncRNA (ENSSSCG00005034354.1)". The record is from RNAcentral. Lineage: Eukaryota; Metazoa; Chordata; Mammalia; Artiodactyla; Suidae.